GGAGCUUCCAAAACACAGAGGAGCAACAGCUGUGCCGCAAACAAGCAAUCGAUAGCUUCAAAACAGCUCCUCGCUACAAUAAAAGGAUGUGUUCUUCCAUACCUCUCACUUGUAAAGAGCUCCCUUACUGUUAUUUUGCUGUUGGAGUUGCUCAUCAAUCCUGAGGAGCAUUGCUGCUGAAGCUGCUCCUGGCCCCUGCUAGGCAGAAGAGCCCUUGGGGCAGCGGGCAGGGCAGUGCUGUGCCGUGCUGGCUGGGGCCCAGCUGCAGCCGGAGCCGGAUCUGGAGGUGGCACAGCGCGAGGGCAGCGCUGCCAGCUGGCCAGGGCAGCUCUGAGCUCUGAACCCCGGUGUGCUGCGCCAGGCGGGGGGCUGGGGGGCAGCCAGCUUGCAGACAGCUUCAUUCUCCUCUCCCUCUGCCCGACAGCACGGCACGGGAGGCAGCCUGGCCUCGAGUUUUAAUCUGGACUCUUUGUUGGAGUGUAAAAAAAGAUCAUCCACCGUGACUUGACAUUUUGAGAUGCUCUUUUUUUAUUUUAAGUGAUUAAAUAUGAGAAGGAACUGAUACAGCCAGCUACAAAGUACCUGUACACAAAGCACCUAAAUCUGAACUUCUUACUGAAAUUUUGAAUGAGUGGGAAUUGGCUGCCAUUUGGAUUACAGGGUCAGGUCAAGCCUCGAGUGAAGUCCUGUGAUUGUAUAAAACUGAAGAUUGUCUGGCUCAGUGUGAUAAUGACUGCAAGGCUUACUGCUGUGAUGGGACUACUUCCUACUGCUGUUCAUAUUAUGCCUACAUUGGGAAUGUCCUUUCGUAAGUAUAUUUGCUCUUCAGAAAAGCUGAUGCACUGUGUUCAUGGACUUGAUGUAAACUCAGGUUGCUGGAAACUACAUUUUGGCAAGAAACAGUGGCAGGGUUUGGGUUCUUGGGGUUUUAGUUCUUUUUUUUUUCCUUGCUAGUAACAAAUAUUGUUAUUUCUGUAAAGUCUCACAUCACAUACCUUUUUGAAGCAUGCUUAUACCUAAAAAGCUUGCUAAAAUUGAGGGUUACAUCCUUAGAUUAUGUACUUUGAUAGAGCCUUUUGAAGCAAGCUGUAGAGAUACUGAGAACUUUGUUUCAAGCUCUUCAAGUGAAGAGGAACAGAAAGAUUUUUUUUUUUUUUUUUUUUGUUGUUGAAAUGCUUUGUUACAAUACCUGAGUCAAGCCACUAUUCAAAUGACUUGGAUUUGAGAUUUGGGUACUUUUUUUUUUUUCUUUUUACUUACUCGUUUGUU
This 1269-nucleotide long non-coding RNA is filed under the name Anas platyrhynchos platyrhynchos (common mallard). RNAcentral describes it as "lncRNA (ENSAPLG00000016954.1)". The record is from RNAcentral. Lineage: Eukaryota; Metazoa; Chordata; Aves; Anseriformes; Anatidae.